CCGGUCGCUGUUGUUGCACCUUCCCUAUUGCCGGUCCGCUGCAGUUUGAUCUAAUCAGGUUGUGAGGUUAAUAGUCUUGAUUUUCAAGAACUUGUUUGCCAAAGAAGCUUCGGAGCUCAGGUGGUAGAUCUUGGACUUCCACAAAUUGUUCAAAGUUUGAAAGCGUAGGCCUGGAGUGACGAGUUGGAAAGCAACUUAUGAUAAUUUGCUUGGGACCAACAAGCCUUUUCCACGGCCGAUUCCUCUACUGGAAAUGGUGAAUUUUCUUGUUGAUGUCUGGGAAGAAGAGGGAUUGUAUGACUAAAUAGCUGCAAGAUGAAGGGAUCGAUGUUUUUUCAGCCAAUUGGAACAUGAUUAUUUAGUUGAUAUCGUUGUGCAGAGUUUGUGUUUGUUUCAGCUGGUCUGAACUUACGAACUGGGGUUCAUUACAGUUUUUAGAGAUCAACUCAUCUUGAGAAAAUGUAGCCACAAAAUCUACAUUAUUUUGGGUUUAUAAACGUUGUGUUCAGUUAGAUGGGUUUGCCCCUGAGCUUGGUUUGAAAA
Molecule: long non-coding RNA, 543 nt
Organism: Cynara cardunculus var. scolymus (artichoke)
Lineage: Eukaryota; Viridiplantae; Streptophyta; Magnoliopsida; Asterales; Asteraceae
Exons: 4
Source: RefSeq, a predicted model, not a curated record